Molecule: small RNA, 25 nt
Filed under: Bombyx mori (domestic silkworm)
Lineage: Eukaryota; Metazoa; Arthropoda; Insecta; Lepidoptera; Bombycidae
Description: ovarian small RNA-12053
Source: RNAcentral
AGCAUUAACAAUUGGUGUCAGAAGC